This is a non-coding RNA of Misgurnus anguillicaudatus (oriental weatherfish), 1538 nucleotides long. Lineage: Eukaryota; Metazoa; Chordata; Actinopteri; Cypriniformes; Cobitidae. The record is from RefSeq and is a predicted model, not a curated record.
UGGUCUCAUUUGGUCAAAAAGAGGGACAUGUACCGUAAGGAUGCUUUUACAUACUUCAUUUAUGUGUAUGAAAUUACUUACUUGACAAUGUGUAUAAAAACUGUACUUGACUCUAACUAAGUGCUAUUUUUGCAUUGAUCAUGAUAGGAGCAUUUUUUUUUUUUUUUUUUUUUUUUUGAUGGGCCAUCACACAGUGGAUUUAUAAAAAUGAGAUUACAGAACAUCAGACGGUAGCUUCAACAGAGUUGAAGUGGGAGGACAUCAUCAAUUAAGAAUGCCAUUGACCAAACCUUCAGUCAUCAAAGAAGAUGGAUACAGGGGGACAUCCAGUUUUCCAGACUUACCGAUGGGAAAGAAGAAAUGGGAAUGUGACAAUUAUUGAGAAACUCAGGGAAAAAGCAUCUUUAGAGAAGAAAAUGGACAUCAGACAUUUAUUGAAGAAAGCUGACAGUCAACAUAAUGAUGAGAGCUGUGUUAUACAAUGUUAAGGAUACUCGUUCAUCUUCUGCUGUGUGAAUUCUGCUGUGUCAGUCCUGUGGGACUUGAUGCCGGCUGGUAGCAGUGUGACGUCUUUGCUUACUAAAUGAUCAAAGGGUGUCUGAAAUCAGCUCAGCCACAGUUGGUUUCCAACGGUUCUUCAGGACAUGGAGGCCACUACGUAACUGUUGCAAUGAACGAUUCUUUUGCCUUUCCACCUGAUGUUGACAAUCUGACCUGUGCGGUACUGAAAACCACUUGCACUGACAUAUCUUAAAAUAUAUCAGUGUCCUUUGUUUUGCCUCAAAAUGCACACCAGUAAUGUUUUUUGUUGAAACCAGUUAUAUUUCCUAAUUAAACUAAGGCCUAGUCCUGGAUUAAGCUAAUCCACUGUCCGGGAAACCGCCCCUAAAUGUUUUGUGACGGAAAUUUCUUUGAAUACACUUGUCAAGUUCAUUUUAAGUAUUUUUCUAAAUUUAAGAUAACAUGUUAAUGUUUCAGGACAAGUUAAAAAAUUUUGAUAAUUUGCAUGUUGGAAACGAUUUCAGACAUUGUUCUAUUCAACAUGUUUAGCACAGUUGCUUUUAAAUUCAAUGAAUUAUUUUAUAAAUAGUGUUUUAAAACGUAUCAAUGUAAUGUAUGUUUGAAGUUAUUAUACUUGCACUUACAUUUAUUUAAAUUAGCAUACAUCUAGCAACAUAGAGUACUAGCAUAUUUUCAUGCAAGCAUUAAUUGUCAAAUAUUUGUUAUUUUACAAAUAAAUAGUUUGUGAACAAUAUUCAAUAGUUGUCUGCUUGAUUUCAUAAUUUAAAGUUUACAAAUCAUAUGUUUUUUUUUCUCUUUAAUAUUAAAACUAAACAAUUACUCGGUAACACACAGUUGUGUUAGAUUAAUAGAAAGUUACACAUUAAUGUGUUUACUGAAGCAACACAUUUUUGUGUUGCAUUUUAUAACACAUAUUCUGUGUUAAAUUUAACUCAACAUGUGUUGUCCCUGCGCACACUCAGAACAUGUGUAAAAAAUAACACAUGUUGUGUUGUUUUUAACACAUUUGUUUUAAG